RNAcentral lists this ribosomal RNA (468 nucleotides) under uncultured bacterium. RNAcentral describes it as "partial 16S ribosomal RNA". It matches the Rfam family "Bacterial small subunit ribosomal RNA", at positions 28 to 507 of the family's 1533-position model. The record is from RNAcentral.
GACGAACGCUGGCGGCGUGCUUAACACAUGCAAGUCGAACGGAAAGGCCCUGCUUUUGUGGGGUGCUCGAGUGGCGAACGGGUGAGUAACACGUGAGUAACCUGCCCUUGACUUUGGGAUAACUUCAGGAAACUGGGGCUAAUACCGGAUAGGAGCUCCUGCUGCAUGGUGGGGGUUGGAAAGUUUCGGCGGUUGGGGAUGGACUCGCGGCUUAGCAGCUUGUUGGUGGGGUAGUGGCUUACCAAGGCUUUGACGGGUAGCCGGCCUGAGAGGGUGACCGGCCACAUUGGGACUGCGAUACGGCCCCGACUCCUACGGGAGGCAGCAGUGGGGAAUAUUGCACAAUGGGCGGACGCCUGAUGCAGCAACGCCGCGUGCGGGAUGACGGCCUUCGGGUUGUAAACCGCUUUCGCCUGUGACGAAGCGUGAGUGACGGUAAUGGGUAAAGAAGCACCGGCUAACUACGUG